RNAcentral lists this long non-coding RNA (2076 nucleotides) under Coturnix japonica (Japanese quail). Its description in RNAcentral is "lncRNA (ENSCJPG00005000575.1)". Lineage: Eukaryota; Metazoa; Chordata; Aves; Galliformes; Phasianidae. The record is from RNAcentral.
GGGGUUUAAUGGGGGGUCUUGAAUUGGGGGGCUUAUGGGGGGGCAUAAAUGGGGGAGGGUCGUUAUAUAGGGGGGUUAUGGGUGGAUGGGGGCACAAGAUGGCCGCCAUUGGUUGGGUGGAUGGAGAACAAGAUGGCCGCCAUUGUUAAACAGGGUUGGAGGGGGGGAAACAAGAUGGCGGACAUUAAGAAGAGGGCGGGACUUCCGGUCUUGAAGAUAAUUGAUGGCUCAAUGGGGAGAGGGACUUCCGGUCUUGGGGAGGAAGUGGGGGUGCAUGGGAACUUCCGGUGCUGGGUAAGAGGAGGCGGGACUUCCGGUUCUGGAUAGAAGGGCGGGGGGCGGGACUUCCGGUUGGUCCGGGCACCAAUGAAAGAUGAGACUUCCGGUUCCGGGUAAUCCAGGGGGUGGGACUUCCGGUUCGCGGGCCAAUCUACAACGGAAGCUCGGAGGGGGGGGAACACACACAAAGGAGACUUCCGGUUCUAUAUGCUCCUAUGAGGGCUUAGUUCCGGUUGGAUGGAACCGAACCGGGCCUGAUUUUCGGUUUUUCCACUCAAAAACUCGGGACUUCCGGUUCGAGGCACCCAGAAGACCGGAUAUCCGCUUUUGUGCAGCACUUCCGGUCUCCCACAUCCGGCUUUGUGGGCGGGACUUCCGGCUACUCUUCUCCACCAACGGCUGCGCUCAGAGCGCAAGGGGGCGUGGCUAAAUAUAAUGAGAUGCAAACCACGCCCAUGUCGCUCCAUAUAAGGAAAGAGGGCGUGGUCACGUUACCAUAUAUGGUAUCAACAUGGCGGCUGGGAGAUGAAGCCCCGCCCCCUUUCCCCGGCAUCCCCCGCGCGGCCCCGCCCCCCCCCGGAGCGCAGCGCAGCGGUGCCCAUGGAGGAGGAGGAGAAGCCCCCAGGGCAUGAAGAGCCAACGGGGCCGGGGGGUGGGGGGGGUCCGAAGGGAGACCCCCCCCCAGAAGAGGAAGGAAGGCUGAGAAUGGGGGAUCCGGGGGGGGGGCGGCUGUCGGGACCCCCCCAUGAUGGAGAUGUGGACCCCCCCCCUCCACUGAAAGCAAUGGACGGAGUGAGAACGGCCUGGGGGGCUACAGGAGAUGCAGUUGGGAAGCGGUCCCUGCGGCAGCGUUGGUGUUGGGCUCCCUGUAUUAAAGGGGUCCCGGUGGUGGAGGGGCUGCAGGGGGCGCUGCGACAGCUGCUGGGGGCAGCAGGCCCUGAUGAAGAGGGACACUGGGGUCCCUCUAUGGGCACAUUGGGGUCACACUAUGGGGCCAGGAGAUCCCAUAACCCUAUAUAACCCUAUAUAGUCCUAUAUAACCCUAUAUAACCCUGUAAAUCCUUAUAUAACUCUAUACAAUCCUAUAUAUCCCUAUAUAGCCCUAUAUAACACUAUGUAAUCCUAUAUAACCCUAUAUAACCCUAUAUAACAUUAUAUAAUCCUAUGUAACCCUAUAUAAUCCUAUAUAACCUUAUGUAAUCCUAUAUGACCCUAUAUAACCCUAUAUAACCUUAUAAAUCCCUAUAUAACCCUAUAUAACCCUAUAUAUCCCUAUAUAUCCCUAUAUAACCUUAUAUAUCCCUAUAUAACCCUAUAUAAUCCUAUAUAACCCUAUAUAACCCUAUAAAUCCCUAUAUAACCCUAUAUAACCCCAUAUAACCCCAUAUAACCCUAUACAACCCUAUAUAACCCUAUACAACCCUAUAUAACCCUAUAUAACCCCGUAUAACCCCGUAUAACCUCGUAUAACCCUACAUAACCCUACAUAACCCUAUAUAACCCUAUAUAAUCCUAUAUAAUCCUAUAUAACCCUAUACAACGCUAUAUAACCCCAUAUAACCCCAUAUAACCCCAUAUAACCCCAUAUAACCCUAUAUAACCCUAUACAAUGCUAUAUAACCCUAUAUAACCCUAUAUAUCCCUGUACGACCCUACAUAACCCUAUACAACCUUAUAUAACCCUAUAUAAUCCUAUACAACCCUAUACAACCCUAUACAACCCUAUACAACCCUAUAUAACCCUAUAUAACCCCAUAUAACCCUAUACAACCCUAUAUAACCCUAUAUGACCCUAUA